ACGGUGAAGAGAUUUCGGUCAAUCAUGUGCAUCUUUAGUGGCGGACGGGUGAGUAACGCGUGGGUAACCUGCCUUACACAGGGGGAUAACACUUAGAAAUAGGUGCUAAUACCGCAUGAGCGCACAGGACCGCAUGGUCGAGUGUGAAAAACUGAGGUGGUGUAAGAUGGACCCGCGUCUGAUUAGCUGGUUGGUGAGGUAACGGCCCACCAAGGCGACGAUCAGUAGCCGGCCUGAGAGGGUGGACGGCCACAUUGGGACUGAGACACGGCCCAAACUCCUACGGGAGGCAGCAGUGGGGGAUAUUGGACAAUGGGGGGAACCCUGAUCCAGCGACGCCGCGUGAGUGAAGAAGUAUCUCGGUAUGUAAAGCUCUAUCAGCAGGGAAGAAGAAAUGACGGUACCUGAGUAAGAAGCCCCGGCUAACUACGUGCCAGCAGCCGCGGUAAUACGUAGGGGGCAAGCGUUAUCCGGAAUUACUGGGUGUAAAGGGAGCGUAGACGGUGAUGUAAGUCUGGAGUGAAAGGCGGGGGCCCAACCCCCGGACUGCUCUGGAAACUAUGUGACUGGAGUGCAGGAGAGGUGAGCGGAAUUCCUAGUGUAGCGGUGAAAUGCGUAGAUAUUAGGAGGAACACCAGUGGCGAAGGCGGCUCACUGGACUGUAACUGACGUUGAGGCUCGAAAGCGUGGGGAGCAAACAGGAUUAGAUACCCUGGUAGUCCACGCCGUAAACGAUGAUCACUAGGUGUGGGUGGGUAUGGACCCAUC
Molecule: ribosomal RNA, 768 nt
Filed under: uncultured bacterium
Lineage: Bacteria
Description: bacterial SSU rRNA
Rfam family: Bacterial small subunit ribosomal RNA
Source: RNAcentral